UACGUAGGGACCGAGCGUUGUCCGGAAUCAUUGGGCGUAAAGAGCGUGUAGGCGGCUAUUUAAGUCCUGCGUGAAAUCCUGCGGCUCAACCGCAGACGGUCGUGGGAAACUGGAUGGCUAGAGUGCGGGAGAGGAGAGUGGAAUUCCCGGUGUAGCGGUGAAAUGCGCAGAUAUCGGGAGGAACACCAGUGGCGAAGGCGGCGACCUGGACGGACAUUGACGCUGAGACGCGAAAGCGUGGGGAGCAAACAGG
This 253-nucleotide ribosomal RNA is filed under the name uncultured bacterium. RNAcentral describes it as "partial 16S ribosomal RNA". It matches the Rfam family "Bacterial small subunit ribosomal RNA", at positions 524 to 776 of the family's 1533-position model. The record is from RNAcentral.